GACGAACCGAGCGAACGUUAUUCGGAAUCACUGGGCUUAAAGGGCGCGUAGGCGGGCGAUCAAGUCAGGGGUGAAAGCCCCCAGCUCAACUGGGGAAGUGCCUCUGAUACUGGUCGUCUCGAGGGAGGUAGGGGCGUGCGGAACUUCCGGUGGAGCGGUGAAAUGCGUAGAUAUCGGAAGGAACACCGGUGGCGAAAGCGGCGCGCUGGACCUCUUCUGACGCUGAGGCGCGAAAGCCAGGGGAGCGAACGGG
RNAcentral lists this ribosomal RNA (253 nucleotides) under uncultured bacterium. RNAcentral describes it as "partial 16S ribosomal RNA". It matches the Rfam family "Bacterial small subunit ribosomal RNA", at positions 524 to 776 of the family's 1533-position model. The record is from RNAcentral.